AAAAAUCCUGGAACAGCAGCAACCGCCGCAGCCUCCAGAAGGUGAGCGGUAUAUCCGAGAGUGGAUAGAGGAACACUCAUCAGCAGCAGCUCCACUGGCAAGCUAUGCUCCAAACCACCUGGAGACCUACAGGGACCCUCAGGUCCCACCUGCUCUACCUCCUGGCCCUGUUGGAGUUAAGAGAGGGAAACCUUUCUUCAC
This is a long non-coding RNA of Gambusia affinis (western mosquitofish), 201 nucleotides long. RefSeq lists it as uncharacterized. NCBI's taxonomy places the organism in Eukaryota, Metazoa, Chordata, Actinopteri, Cyprinodontiformes, Poeciliidae. The transcript has 3 exons. The record is from RefSeq and is a predicted model, not a curated record.